This is a non-coding RNA of Xyrichtys novacula (pearly razorfish), 343 nucleotides long. NCBI's taxonomy places the organism in Eukaryota, Metazoa, Chordata, Actinopteri, Labriformes, Labridae. The record is from the annotation of a GenBank genome assembly.
CUCUAUACGGAUUUAACGCCAAAUAGCUCUCGGUAUUUCCGGGAAUUGUCUUCAUUUCCUGAAACCAGCGCUGCCCAGUAGCGAGGCACGCAUUCGGCCGUGCAGUCGCAGAGAGUCGCUGUGAUGACGCUCGGCUCAAACAGCGUAUCCUCCGGGUGAACUACGCAAUCCCUGGCUGUCCGCCCAUAGGCUGUAUUAGGUGUCAAUCAUAGAAAACAUGACCCCCUAAUAACUUUUAAAAACGGAGCUUCACAGAAAAAAAGAGGACUUGAGCACAAACCAGUCUGACAGUAACUACAUGUCAACAUCACAAGCAGGGGGGAGAAAAAUUUAUUUUCUGUGU